CCUACGGGGUGCUGCAGUGAGGAAUAUUGGUCAAUGGACGAGAGUCUGAACCAGCCAAGUAGCGUGAAGGAUGACUGCCCUAUGGGUUGUAAACUUCUUUUAUAUGGGAAUAAAAUGUUCCACGUGUGGGAUUUUGUAUGUACAAUAUGAAUAAGGAUCGGCUAACUCCGUGCCAGCAGCCGCGGUAAUACGGAGGAUCCGAGCGUUAUCCGGAUUUAUUGGGUUUAAAGGGAGCGUAGGUGGAUUGUUAAGUCAGUUGUGAAAGUUUGCGGCUCAACCGUAAAAUUGCAGUUGAAACUGGCAGUCUUGAGUACAGUAGAGGUGGGCGGAAUUCGUGGUGUAGCGGUGAAAUGCUUAGAUAUCACGAAGAACUCCGAUUGCGAAGGCAGUUCACUGGACUGCAACUGACACUGAGGCUCGAAAGUGUGGGUAUCAAACAGGAUUAGAUACCCUUGUAGUC
RNAcentral lists this ribosomal RNA (460 nucleotides) under uncultured bacterium. RNAcentral describes it as "partial 16S ribosomal RNA". It matches the Rfam family "Bacterial small subunit ribosomal RNA", at positions 338 to 795 of the family's 1533-position model. The record is from RNAcentral.